CUUUACUGUAGCUUUGCAUUGGACUUUGAAUCGGUCUGUGUAGGAUAGGUGGGAGGCGUUGAUAACAGGAUGCUAGUUCUGUUGAAGCCAACCUUGAAAUACCACCCUGAUUUAUUUGAGGUUCUAACCUUGGCCCGUUAUCCGGGUCGGGAACAGUGCAUGGUAGGCAGUUUGACUGGGGCGGUCUCCUCCCAAAGUGUAACGGAGGAGUACGAAGGUACGCUUGGUACGGUCGGACAUCGUACCUAAAGUGCAAUGGCAAAAGCGUGCUUAACUGCGAGACCGACAAGUCGAGCAGGUGCGAAAGCAGGUCAUAGUGAUCCGGUGGUUCUGUAUGGAAGGGCCAUCGCUCAACGGAUAAAAGGUA
Molecule: ribosomal RNA, 367 nt
Filed under: uncultured organism
Description: bacterial LSU rRNA
Rfam family: Bacterial large subunit ribosomal RNA
Source: RNAcentral